This is a long non-coding RNA of Lucilia cuprina (Australian sheep blowfly), 579 nucleotides long. RefSeq lists it as uncharacterized. Lineage: Eukaryota; Metazoa; Arthropoda; Insecta; Diptera; Calliphoridae. The record is from RefSeq and is a predicted model, not a curated record. The transcript is spliced from 3 exons.
GUUUAAAAGGUUAUUUUCUAUUUAAAUUUCUUUUUUUUUUAAGACAAAAGGAUUAUAAUAGAAAAUCGGUUAUGAAACCAUUAGUGUACAACACGAAAUCUUAAGUGUAUAAUUUGGUCCCUUCUUCCAGUCAAGAAUAUUGCCCUUUCGGAGAAAAUGAAGAUCGAUUUUUAAUAUUAAAUACAAAACGGCUUUACUCUUAUUAGUAUUUUGCGAACAGUAACUCUAGCUCUUUGAUCCAGGUGGUACCCACAAGGGGAAUUCAAAACUAAGUUCUUAGAAUCUACGACCAUGACCGUGGUGGACGGUUUCCUCCUUGGGUGGGUGGGUACGAAUGUAUUCCAAAGAUUUUAAGAUGGCUUCUGGGAUGGGGUGGGGAGUGGGCAAAACAUCACUGUUGGGUUGGUAACCGUUUUCAUCGGCAACAUAGCUAACAGCAACGUGUUCGCCUUCAGGAGAGAUCCAUUGGAAGUCACCACGCACAUUACCGUAAGCAUCACCGCUAGACUUGGCACUGAUGCCAUUAGUAGUUUCCAAAUGGUAAUCGAAACCUUCGGGACGGACAUCAGAAGCAGCUGA